Molecule: ribosomal RNA, 253 nt
Filed under: uncultured bacterium
Lineage: Bacteria
Description: partial 16S ribosomal RNA
Rfam family: Bacterial small subunit ribosomal RNA
Source: RNAcentral
UACAUAGGGGGCCAGCGUUAUUCGGAAUUAUUGGGCGUAAAGGGCGCGUAGGCGGCCAUGCGUGUCUUUCGUGAAAUCCCUCGGCUUAACUGAGGACGUGCGGAAGAAACUGCAAGGCUUGAGUCCGGGAGAGGGGGGUGGAAUUCCCAGUGUAGCGGUGAAAUGCGUAGAUAUCGUAAGGAAGACUAGUGGCGAAGGCGGGUCUCUGGACAGUUCCUGACGCUGAGGCACGAAGGCCAGGGGAGCAAACGGG